Molecule: ribosomal RNA, 253 nt
Filed under: uncultured bacterium
Lineage: Bacteria
Description: partial 16S ribosomal RNA
Rfam family: Bacterial small subunit ribosomal RNA
Source: RNAcentral
GACGAACCGUGCGAACGUUGUUCGGAAUCACUGGGCUUAAAGGGCGCGUAGGCGGCUAUGUAAGUCUUGGGUGAAAUCUUUCGGCUCAACCGGAAACGUGCCUGGGAUACUGCAUAGCUAGAGGGAGGUAGGGGCGGACGGAACUUCCGGUGGAGCGGUGAAAUGCGUUGAUAUCGGAAGGAACGCCGGUGGCGAAAGCGGUCCGCUGGACCUCUACUGACGCUGAGGCGCGAAAGCCAGGGGAGCAAACGGG